Nycticebus coucang (slow loris) is the source of this 104-nucleotide small nucleolar RNA. RefSeq annotates it as small nucleolar RNA U13. The transcript has a single exon. Lineage: Eukaryota; Metazoa; Chordata; Mammalia; Primates; Lorisidae. The record is from RefSeq and is a predicted model, not a curated record.
AUCCCUUUAUAGUUCAUCAGCAUGAUGACUGAGUGUUUACACCCAUGUGUGAGAUGUCUCUUCCUCAAACCUUGUUACAAUGAUGGCAUAUUGACCAUCUGCUG